GGCCUGCUGGCCCAAUGGGUAAGCAGUUCUCCAAUGUCGAUGCAGAGAAGUGAAAUUAAUGUAGAACAGCAAGGCGCAUGACUACGAAUCAUGAGAUUGCAGGUUCGAUCCCUGCGCAGGUCA
This 123-nucleotide transfer RNA is filed under the name Umbilicaria muhlenbergii. RNAcentral's name for it is "tRNA-Arg (ACG) (tRNA-Arg-ACG-1-1)". The stretch from base 64 to 123 matches the Rfam family "tRNA". The record is from RNAcentral. Lineage: Eukaryota; Fungi; Ascomycota; Lecanoromycetes; Umbilicariales; Umbilicariaceae.